This 447-nucleotide ribosomal RNA is filed under the name uncultured bacterium. RNAcentral describes it as "bacterial SSU rRNA". It matches the Rfam family "Bacterial small subunit ribosomal RNA", at positions 330 to 792 of the family's 1533-position model. The record is from RNAcentral.
GCCAGACUCCUACGGGAGGCAGCAGUGGGGACUAUUGGGCAAUGGGCGAAAGCCUGACCCAGCAAUGCCGCGUGAAUGAAGAAGGUCUUAGGAUUGUAAAAUUCUGUCCUAUGGGAAGAAACAAAUGACGGUACCAUAGGAGGAAGCCCCGGCUAACUCCGUGCCAGCAGCCGCGGUAAUACGUAUGGUGCAAGCGUUAUCCGGAUUUAUUGGGUUUAAAGGGUGCGUAGGCGGAUUUUUAAGUCAGCGGUAAAAUGUCCGGGCUCAACCCGGGCCGGCCGUUGAAACUGGGGAUCUUGAGUGGGCGAGAAGUAUGCGGAAUGCGUGGUGUAGCGGUGAAAUGCAUAGAUAUCACGCAGAACUCCGAUUGCGAAGGCAGCAUACCGGCGCCCGACUGACGCUGAGGCACGAAAGCGUGGGGAUCGAACAGGAUUAGAUACCCGCGUA